UGGGGAAUAUUGCGCAAUGGGCGGAAGCCUGACGCAGCGACGCCGCGUGGGGGAUGACGGCCUUCGGGUUGUAAACCCCUUUCAGCAGGGACGAAGCUAACGUGACGGUACCUGCAGAAGAAGCGCCGGCUAACUACGUGCCAGCAGCCGCGGUAAUACGUAGGGCGCAAGCGUUGUCCGGAAUUAUUGGGCGUAAAGAGCUCGUAGGCGGUUUGUCGCGUCUGUCGUGAAAGCCCACGGCUUAACCGUGGGUCUGCGGUGGAUACGGGCAGACUAGAGGCAGGUAGGGGAGAAUGGAAUUCCCGGUGUAGCGGUGAAAUGCGCAGAUAUCGGGAGGAACACCGGUGGCGAAGGCGGUUCUCUGGGCCUGUACUGACGCUGAGGAGCGAAAGCGUGGGGAGCGAACAGG
This 409-nucleotide ribosomal RNA is filed under the name uncultured bacterium. RNAcentral describes it as "bacterial SSU rRNA". It matches the Rfam family "Bacterial small subunit ribosomal RNA", at positions 355 to 776 of the family's 1533-position model. The record is from RNAcentral.